UUCUACUUAGUUUAUACAAAACAUUAUAUUUUCAGUAUAAAAAUAAGUCAUUACUUAGAAGAAA
This 64-nucleotide transfer RNA is filed under the name Homidia koreana. Its description in RNAcentral is "tRNA-Glu". The record is from RNAcentral. Lineage: Eukaryota; Metazoa; Arthropoda; Collembola; Entomobryomorpha; Entomobryidae.